AACUUUCGGCAAUGGAUCACUUGGCCCUCGCUUCGAUGAAGAACGCAGCGAAAUGCGAUAAGUAAUGUGAAUUGCAGAAUUCAGUGAAUCAUCGAAUCUUUGAACGCAGCUUGCGCUCCUUGGUAUUCCGAGGAGCAUGCCUGUUUGAGUGUCAUUAAUAUAUCAACCUUCUCUUGUUGAGUGGGUUUGGAUGUGGGGGUUUGCUGGCCUCUUAAGAGGUUUCAGCUCUCCUGAAAUGCAUUAGCAGAACAACCCUGUUCAUUGGUGUGAUAACUAUCUACGCUAUUGAAUGUGAAGGGCAGUUUGGCUUUCUAACAGUCCUUGGACAGCUCAUCAUUAAUGUGACCUCAAAUCAGGUAGGACUACCCGCUGAACUUAAGCAUAUCAAUAAGCGGAGGCU
This 400-nucleotide unclassified non-coding RNA is filed under the name uncultured Cortinarius. Its description in RNAcentral is "sequence contains ITS2". The stretch from base 1 to 154 matches the Rfam family "5.8S ribosomal RNA". Lineage: Eukaryota; Fungi; Basidiomycota; Agaricomycetes; Agaricales; Cortinariaceae. The record is from RNAcentral.